RNAcentral lists this ribosomal RNA (587 nucleotides) under uncultured bacterium. RNAcentral's name for it is "partial 16S ribosomal RNA". It matches the Rfam family "Bacterial small subunit ribosomal RNA", at positions 355 to 1375 of the family's 1533-position model. The record is from RNAcentral.
UGGGGAAUUUUGGACAAUGGGCGAAAGCCUGAUCCAGCAAUGCCGCGUGUGUGAAGAAGGCCUUCGGGUUGUAAAGCACUUUUGUCCGGAAAGAAAUCCUUGGCUCUAAUACAGUCGGGGGAUGACGGUACCGGAAGAAUAAGCACCGGCUAACUACGUGCCAGCAGCCGCGGUAAUACGUAGGGUGCAAGCGUUAAUCGGAAUUACUGGGCGUAAAGCGUGCGCAGGCGGUUUGCUAAGACCGAUGUGAAAUCCCCGGGCUCAACCUGGGAACUGCAUUGGUGACUGGCAGGCUAGAGUAUGGCAGAGGGGGGUAGAAUUCCACGUGUAGCAGUGAAAUGCGUAGAGAUGUGGAGGAAUACCGAUGGCGAAGGCAGCCCCCUGGGCCAAAUACUGACGCUCAUGCACGAAAGCGUGGGGAGCAAACAGGAUUAGAUACCCUGGUAGUCCACGCCCUAAAACGAUGUCAACUAGUUGUUGGGGAUUCAUUUCCUUAGUAACGUAGCUAACGCGUGAAGUUGACCGCCUGGGGAGUACGGUCGCAAGAUUAAAACUUAAAUGAAUUGACGGGGUCAUAGCUGUUUCCU